RNAcentral lists this transfer RNA (87 nucleotides) under Betaproteobacteria bacterium. RNAcentral describes it as "tRNA-Leu". It matches the Rfam family "tRNA". Rfam says of the family: Transfer RNA (tRNA) molecules are approximately 80 nucleotides in length. Their secondary structure includes four short double-helical elements and three loops (D, anti-codon, and T loops). Further hydrogen bonds mediate the characteristic L-shaped molecular structure. tRNAs have two regions of fundamental functional importance: the anti-codon, which is responsible for specific mRNA codon recognition, and the 3' end, to which the tRNAs corresponding amino acid is attached (by aminoacyl-tRNA synthetases). tRNAs cope with the degeneracy of the genetic code in two manners: having more than one tRNA (with a specific anti-codon) for a particular amino acid; and 'wobble' base-pairing, i.e. permitting non-standard base-pairing at the 3rd anti-codon position. Lineage: Bacteria; Pseudomonadati; Pseudomonadota; Betaproteobacteria. RNAcentral also lists the same sequence under 1 other name. The record is from RNAcentral.
GCCCGGAUGGUGAAAUUGGUAGACACAAGGGACUUAAAAUCCCUUGGCCGAAAGGCCGUGGCGGUUCGAAUCCGCCUCCGGGUACCA